Patella vulgata (common limpet) is the source of this 674-nucleotide long non-coding RNA. RefSeq lists it as uncharacterized. The transcript is spliced from 4 exons. Lineage: Eukaryota; Metazoa; Mollusca; Gastropoda; Patellidae. The record is from RefSeq and is a predicted model, not a curated record.
AGUCCUCGUCGGUUCAUUUUAAAAUUGUUUAUUGUGUCUUUAAUAUUGGAUAUUAUCAUCGCCUAUUUUCACAGAACUAAAUGGUGCGGCACUGGUGAUGUUGCCAAAGAUGAUAAUGAUUUAGGAACUAAUGCGGUCACCGAUGCUUGUUGCCGCACACACGAUAAAUGUAAACCUGAUAUUGGAGGGUUUGGAAGCAAGGGGAUCUUCAUAAAUGUUCUACCUUGGACAAGACUGCACUGUGAUUGUGAUAAUGCUUUUCAUAGCUGUUUGAAAAGUGCAAGAAACACUAACGAUGCCGAGAAAAUUGUCGCAGACAUAUCAGGUUUCGCGUAUUUUCACGUUACCAACACUCGAUGCUUCAAAGAACAUUCUUAUAAAAUAUGUACAAGUCUGGGAUGGUUUAAGUGUAAUGGAUAUACAACAUUUAACACCUACAAGUGGCAUAAAAAUAAAUCAUAUUAAAGAGGAGACCCCCCCCCCCCCUACCCAAACAAAAGAAACUAAAUACUGAAAUAGAAAACUCUUUAUUAUAGCCACGUACGACAAGCCAUAUCGUUUACAUAUAUUUCAAUAUUCAAAAAUGUGCAAUGUUUUAAUAUAAAGCCCGUUAAUUUUGUGUAAUUGAGCACACAUGAGUUUAAAGGGAUCGUCAUGAAGGUCAUCCUGUACGA